AUUCCAAAUGUAAAUAGUGUUCCUAUCUUUUAGCUAAGUGCAUUAACAUUGCUAGCUCACUAGGCCUUAGACAUCAUGAAGCUGUUGGAUAAAUCUUUGAAAGAGGCCUGGCUUUUGAUUUAUAGGAGCUACCAUCUGGAUAACAUAUUGUAAUUAAUGCUGUUUUUAGGCAACAUUUACAAAAAAAACCUUCUACCAUUCCCUCUAAUAGAAAUUAAUAUUACUUAUCUCAAUUUGUAGUUAUGCUCCUUUCUUAGGAGACAAAUAAUUACAAAUAUAGUCUUUUUUUUAGAUCUUGUUACUUCAUCUUCUGCUCCAAGUCAUGAACGUCAGAGCCAACUGUCCUGAUUUGGUAGGAAAAGUCCUUGUUAAUCCUCUGACAUCUCACCUUUUCAGCUGUUAUCAGUUUUCUCCUCUUUGAUGUCAACUUAUUUCAAUUGCUGCAAACUGCAGGUGUAUCUGCACUGUAGAACAAAUACAGUUUGACACCAUUUGAACUGUCACGACUCAAUGCAAUGGAAUAAUCAAAAAUUGCAGUUUUAUAAGGUCUUUAACCUUUUCGGCUAGAGUGUUGAUCACUCACCAAACUAUAAAUCUAAGGAUUCCAUAGCACUGAAUGCAGUGGUAUGAAACUGCACUAAUUCAACACUGUAGUAGAUGCACUCUCAGUUCAAAGUGGAAAUUACUUUUCACCCAGAUAAUUUGCAGGAAGAAGAGGAGAGAUAGGGUACAGGUAAAAUGAAACUGCCGCAGCUCCUCCUAGCUUGUGUUUUCCUUAUUGAUCACUUCUGCCAUCUUGACCACAUCUUGAAGUUGUUUGGCCAAACAUGUUUUACUUUUCACAGUACCAUUCAAGAGAGCCAAAUAACAUCAGUAACAGGGAGCUUGGAGGAAAAUGCAGUGUUUGUCUGCUGCAGGCUGCCUUUGACCUCAACUCCUGGUGACUGGCUCCUCACAGACUCAGGCCCUGACUGCCCGGCUGAAGCAAGGCCCAGCAGAAACACCUGCUGCCUCCAGAGGCUGGGGCAAAAAAGGAGCGUGCCGGCAUGGACCCAGUUACACAGCACCAUCCAAGAGAGCUAAAUAAGAGCUUAAGAUCACAACAGGGGGAAGGCCUUAGUAUAAUGUGGUGCUGCUAUAAUAGUCCUGGACUGUAAUGCUGCUACUCAACCAAGAGACUCGAGAAACAACACUAUAUCCUGUAUCCAGCAAUGAAUGCUGAAGAACCUUUGCUGAAUGCCUUGCUUGAAUGCAAAUAGUGGCCUUUGGUUCACACAUCAUGGAUUUCCUGUUUCCUCUGUCCACUGUCUCAUUCCUCCUUAAGCCGCGUGCAGAACUAAGGUAUUUUAUAUUUUAAAUAUGAUAUAGAUAUACUUCCCAUUACGUUUAUUAUUCCAUAUCAUUCUCUUAAACUCCUUCCUUUCUUUCAGCUGCUUCUCACAUAAACUCCCUUGAAUCAGCUUUUUCAUUCAAUUGUGGGCUGAAUCACAGUAUCAGGAUUUCCUGUCCCUGAAAAGUGCCCACUUAUGUGACACCUUCAAACAAUUGUUUCAGAUUUCCAACAGGGAUUUCCCUCCUUUCAAUGGCUACAUCAAGAACAAAAAAAAUAUGUUACAAAUGGAUUUUCAUUUCUAAACCUGACUCUAUAACCAGAAGCAUUGAAGAUUGUUAUAGAAGUGGGGGAAAGUGCAAAAUUCUUGGUAAUUCAAAUUCCAUGCCAGAUACAGAACCCACAUGGAAUUCCAACCAUGCUGAACUUCACAAAAUGAAUAGCUUUGGUGUUGAGCAGUCGGCCCCUAUUGUGGUGUGCUCAACUGCAAUCAUUCCUUUAUUCAGAUGUCUCACAGAGUUCAGUGAGUUUCACUCCUGAAUGCAUAAAUUUCCUCAUCUCAUUUAUAGCAACUUGGGACUUUAGACUUCUCUCUUAAGUAAACACAGCCAGAGGAAAAAAGGAGGAGAAUUCCCCAUCUUUUCUCCUAUUAGCCAAUCAGAUGGAGGAGAAGGAUGCAAACUGGGAAGUGAUCAGCUCUAAAAAGGUUAGGGAAUUUUCUUUGUGCUUUUGCUACAUUCUCUUCAGACGUUAGGAGUGUUAAUUGCGAUAAAAAUCCUCCUUUCCUUUUACUGUAAAUUCCAUGGUUAUGGAAAAGAAUAUUUUAAGUAAUAAAGGCAAUUUCAGCAAUUAAAUAGUUUCAAUUAUUCAUGUCUAUGGUGACAAAUUAACAGCCCAAUUUCUAACAGUCAGUGUUAACUAAUUUCUAAACUUUGUAUUUCAACUUCUGAUCCCGCUUUGCUUGUACAUCGUCAGAUACCUAGCUGGAUAUAUAAUCUUUCACCCUAGCUGAGUUGUACCCUUUUCCUAAAUGUGUCUCUUGUUCUGUUCAUUCGGUUCACAACAGCUAUUGUUGAAGGGCCAGUAAUAUGUGAAAAAAUAACUGAGCAAUAGGUUAGCAGGUUGCAAAUUGAUCUAAAUUCCAUUUUAUGGGUUGCAGUGAUCAAUUUACAUGUUGGCAAGAUGAGCUGAAGAAAUAUGCCCUGAAAUAAAAAGGCCCCCUUCUCUCUUCUUCCGGUUUUCAAAGCACAAUGCUUUCCUCAGUUAUUGUUUUUGCUACCUUUGGCACUUCUAUAGGUCCUCUUGCUUGAGUACAAAUGUCCACACUAUUGGAUACUGCCCUCUUCAACUGCGUUUGUGUUGCCAAAGAAAUGUGGCUGACCCUUUUCUUUAGGUUUCUCUGUUGACCAGGCAAAGCAGCAAUGAAUCUUGGCACUCUCCCUUGCCAUGGGUGUUCUUCAUCCGUCUCUUACGUGAGUGGGUUUAGUACAAUGGGUAUCAAACUUUGGGCUUCUGGAUAUUUUGAACUUCAGUUUCUAGAAGCCCUAGCCUGCUUGUCCAAUGGUCAGGGAUUCUGGGAACUGAAGUCCUGGAUACCUGAGGACCAAAGAUUACAAACCACUGUUCAGCAGAUAACAAAUAUGUAAUUAUUGCACAUCAAGGCAUUUAACAAUAAAAACACACACAAAGAAAAGUAGUAUCUUCUCUGCCAAACAGAAAGUAACUGCUUCCCUCUGUACCUGCAUAAAUGAAGUGGAGGAAAGUUAACCAAAAUGUCUUGAAAUAUCUGAUUUAUAUAAGUAGGAAUAACCCUGCACUGUUGGUUUUGGCUUGAAAUGGAAUCUUUUAUUAUGCCUUCCUCAAAACCAACCGACUGUUAUGACUCUUUGAACAAACUCAGAAUAACUAUCAACAUGGAAGCAGUUAGAUCCUUAUAUUGUACUGUUGAAUUCAAGCACCCUUGCCAUUUUCUUGUUACAUGAGAGUCUGAUGCGGUUGCCUUACAUGUCAGAGUCAGUGAAUCCAGGAUUCCAUCCAGACUAAGAGUGCUCAAUUCUCUACCAAAAAUUGGUUCGGUACUUUGGCUAGCUCCUUCAAAGCCCAGGGAAGCCCCACAGUGGAUUCAAACCACAGCCGAGUGAAUGAAUACAUACACUCUGGCCCUAAUCCAGAAGAUGGUUUGCUGAAAUUAAAUCCUUCUGAAAGUCAUGGAAUACUUCAGAAAUGUGAAUAAAAGAUGCAACUUGA
This is a long non-coding RNA of Anolis carolinensis (green anole), 3577 nucleotides long. RefSeq lists it as uncharacterized. The transcript is spliced from 4 exons. The record is from RefSeq and is a predicted model, not a curated record. NCBI's taxonomy places the organism in Eukaryota, Metazoa, Chordata, Lepidosauria, Squamata, Anolidae.